GAUGAAGAACGUAGCGAAAUGCGAUAAGUAGUGUGAAUUGCAGAAUUCAGUGAAUCAUCGAAUCUUUGAACGCUCAUUGCGGCCCUUGGUAUUCCAUGGGGCAUGCCUGUUCGAGCGUCAUUUGUACCUUCAAGCUCUGCUUGGUGUUGGGUGUUUGUCUCGCCUCUGCGUGUAGACUCGCCUUAAAACAAUUGGCAGCCGGCGUAUUGAUUUCGGAGCGCAGUACAUCUCGCGCUUUGCACUCAUAACGACGACGUCCAAAAGUACAUUUUUACACUCUUGACCUCGGAUCAGGUAGGGAUACCCGCUGAACUUAAGCAUAUCAAUAAGCGGAGGA
RNAcentral lists this unclassified non-coding RNA (337 nucleotides) under soil metagenome. RNAcentral's name for it is "partial contains 5.8S ribosomal RNA, internal transcribed spacer 2, and large subunit ribosomal RNA". The stretch from base 1 to 120 matches the Rfam family "5.8S ribosomal RNA", at positions 35 to 154 of the family's 154-position model. The record is from RNAcentral.